RNAcentral lists this ribosomal RNA (251 nucleotides) under uncultured bacterium. RNAcentral's name for it is "partial 16S ribosomal RNA". It matches the Rfam family "Bacterial small subunit ribosomal RNA", at positions 524 to 776 of the family's 1533-position model. The record is from RNAcentral.
UACGGAGGAUGCGAGCGUUAUCCGGAUUUAUUGGUUUAAAGGGUGCGUAGGCGGGAUGCCAAGUCAGCGGUAAAAAUGCGGUGCUCAACGCCGUCGAGCCGUUGAAACUGGCGUUCUUGAGUGGGCGAGAAGUAUGCGGAAUGCGUGGUGUAGCGGUGAAAUGCAUAGAUAUCACGCAGAACUCCGAUUGCGAAGGCAGCAUACCGGCGCCCUACUGACGCUGAGGCUCGAAAGCGUGGGGAGCAAACAGG